RNAcentral lists this transfer RNA (72 nucleotides) under Candidatus Jorgensenbacteria bacterium RIFCSPLOWO2_02_FULL_45_12. RNAcentral describes it as "tRNA-Ile". It matches the Rfam family "tRNA". Rfam says of the family: Transfer RNA (tRNA) molecules are approximately 80 nucleotides in length. The record is from RNAcentral. Lineage: Bacteria; Candidatus Joergenseniibacteriota.
GGGCGUGUAGUUCAGUGGUAGAACGCUGUCCUGAUAAGACAGAAGUCGAAGGUUCGAUUCCUUCCACGCCCA